UACGAAGGUUGCGAGCGUUGUUCGGAAUCACUGGGCUUAAAGCGCAUGUAGGCGGCCCAUCAAGUGCCUUGUGAAAUCCCUCGGCUCAACCGGGGAAUUGCUUGGUAGACUGUUCGGGCUUGAGGCAGGUAGGGGCGCGUGGAACUCUUGGUGGAGCGGUGGAAUGCGUAGAUAUCAAGAGGAACGCAGGUGGCGAAAGCGGCGCGCUGGGCCUGUCCUGACGCUGAGAUGCGAAAGCCAGGGGAGCAAACGGG
This 254-nucleotide ribosomal RNA is filed under the name uncultured bacterium. RNAcentral's name for it is "partial 16S ribosomal RNA". It matches the Rfam family "Bacterial small subunit ribosomal RNA", at positions 524 to 776 of the family's 1533-position model. The record is from RNAcentral.